Leopardus geoffroyi (Geoffroy's cat) is the source of this 939-nucleotide long non-coding RNA. RefSeq lists it as uncharacterized. The record is from RefSeq and is a predicted model, not a curated record. The transcript has 3 exons. NCBI's taxonomy places the organism in Eukaryota, Metazoa, Chordata, Mammalia, Carnivora, Felidae.
AACAUUCUUAAUAUAUCUGUUAGGUCCAACUGGUCCAAUGUGUUAUUCAAAGGCAUUGUUUUCUUGUUGAUUUCCCAUCUGGAUGAUCUAUCCAUUGAUUAAGUGUCUUACUGAUGUGUUCUAUUCUUCCCUCAAGCCCGGUGUGUAUAUUAACGAAAACGGCUUUAAAUUCUCCAUAAGAUUCCCAACCUCUCUGGAUUCCCUCUCAUUUGGUGAAGCUGUGUCAUGGCAUGAUGGACACCCCCUGAGUAUGUUUCAAUCAACCAGGACUUCCAGAGAAUGACUCUGAAUGAGCGACCACCACUCUCAUUUUUUUUUCCAAGAUGGAAGAAGCCUUUUCAUUGGCUCCUCAUCCUGUAGCCACUCCAUAAACGCAAGUCCUUGACCCUGAUAUAAUAUGGGGAAGCCUUAAACACCUGUAUAACCAGGCUGGCGAUUAAAUAUGCCCCUGAUGUAUAUCUGAUGACCCUGAUCUCUGCCACUGUUAUUUAUUACACAGGCAAAGGUGAUCCAUAGGCUUCUUAAUCAUGGGGGUCCUAGCUACAGUAAGCACUAUAGCCCCUGCUACCAUUGCUGAAAUUAGUCUUCACCACACUGUCAAACUGCACAUGUACUCAUUCAAUUCAUUGUCAAAUCCUCCAUUCUAAGCUUCCCUGUGAUAGAAAAUUUAGAUGUAACAUUACACCAACAGCUAUAAUACUCCAAAGAUCUAAGACACGAAUGGGCUGACUCAUGGUCUUUUUGGAAAGACGUUAACCCUCUAUUGGAUAAUGCCCAUAUCAAAUUUUGGAUAACUCUGGGAAAUGGAAUACUUUUACAGUGUCUCUUUUUAUACCUUUGCAGAAUCCCCCUCCAAACCACCCGACAGCAAAAGAAGGAUCAGAAGCUCAUCAUGAUGGUCCUUGCAUGUAAACUUAAGAUGACAAAAAAAAAAAAAAA